UUACCUGUGAGAAAAUUCCCGACCCUUGUUUCCCGAGAAAUUUCCAAAGAGAUUUUUUUCCUUCCCGAACUCUGAGACAGAAGUUCCAUGUCUAUUUUCAACUCGAGUUGCGAUUUGAUUGUUUAAGUUUCGCGGGGUGGAACCUCAAGGAGACUGCCGGUGAUAUACCGGAGGAAGGUGGGGAUGUCUUCAAUUCUUCACGGCCCUUUCGCGUAGGGCUCCACCCCGCUACAAUGGCUCAUACAAAAAAGUUGCGCACUCGGCAGGGGAAACCAACCCCCCAAAAGCCAUCGUAGUUCGGAACGCACUCUGCACCUCGAUUGCAUGAAGCCGGAAUCGCUAGUAAUCGCGGAUCAAAAGUAUACCGAGAGAACCCCG
This 378-nucleotide ribosomal RNA is filed under the name Betaproteobacteria bacterium LP14. Its description in RNAcentral is "bacterial SSU rRNA". It matches the Rfam family "Bacterial small subunit ribosomal RNA", at positions 956 to 1366 of the family's 1533-position model. Lineage: Bacteria; Pseudomonadati; Pseudomonadota; Betaproteobacteria. The record is from RNAcentral.